CGACGUCGCGUGGGAGAGUCCUCUCCGCACAGCGGUGAGGCGCCGAAGGGGCAUACUCCCCAUCAAGCUCUCAGGCGCCCGGGACCACGCGAAGCAG
RNAcentral lists this non-coding RNA (97 nucleotides) under Serinicoccus chungangensis. RNAcentral describes it as "Glycine sequence". It matches the Rfam family "Glycine riboswitch aptamer". Rfam says of the family: This family represents the bacterial glycine riboswitch. Glycine riboswitches usually consist of two metabolite-binding aptamers domains with similar structures in tandem. Lineage: Bacteria; Bacillati; Actinomycetota; Actinomycetes; Micrococcales; Ornithinimicrobiaceae. The record is from Rfam by way of RNAcentral.